AUGUACAACGCAUAUGCCGCCAAGGUUGGGUUCAGUGUCAGAAAAAGUCACACAAAGCGACGAGGUGAUAAAAGUAUAUCUCAAAAAUAUAUAGUUUGCAGUAACGAAGGCCAUCGAGAAACCCAAUCAUCUAAGGACACUACAAGGACAGGUUGUGAGGCUCGUAUUCAGUUUAGUGUCAACAAAGAUGGUAUUUGGACAGUGCAAAAGCUUAUAACCGAGCACAAUCACUAUCUUGCUAGUCCCAGUAAGGUGCACAAGCUGAGGUCCCAAAGACGUGUUAUAGAAGCGGAUAGGCAUCUAAUUGGCCAGAUACGGGAAGCGGGGAUGAAGCCAUCCCAGGUAUAUGACUUUAUGGUAGCAUUUUACGGAGAACCCGACAAAGUACCAUUCUCAAAGAUGGACUGCAAUAAUGAGAUUGGUCGCGAGCGCAAGAAGUAUUUAGAAUCAAAUGAUGCAUAGACACUGUUGGAAUACUUGAAAAAUAAGCAAAGAGAGGAUCCUACAUUUUAUGCCAUUCAGAUAGAUCAAGUUGAUGGCCAGAUAGCUAAUUUCUUUUGGGCAGAUGGUCAGUCUAUCAUGGAUUACGCAUGUUUUGGGGAUGCUGUAUCAUUUGAUACCACUUUUCAGACUAACAAGUUUGAAAUGCCUUUUGCUCCAUUCGUUGGUACCAACCAUCACAAGCAAACAGUAAUUUUUGGGGCCGCGCUGAUAUUUAAUGAGAGUAUCGAUUCAUUUGUUUGGCUCUUUGAAACAUUUUUAACAGCGAUGUCAGGCAAGCAUCCGAGCACUAUUUUCACUGAUCAGGACAAGGCCAUGGACGGAGCAAUUGCAUAUGUGUUCCCAAAUACAAGUCAUCGGCUUUGUUUGUGGCACAUUUAUCUUAAUGCUGCAAAACAUCUUGGGCAUGUAAUUCAUGAGCAUCCUGAGAAGUUUUUAUCUGAUUUUAAGAAAUGUGUCUAUGAAGAUAGGUCAGAAUUUUACUUCAAUAAAAAAUGGUUUGAAUUGUUGGAUCAAAACAACCUUGAGGACAAUGAAUGAAUGAAAAAGCUGUAUGAGUUGAGGGAAAAGUGGGCUGCUGUCUAUCGUGACUCUUUUACAGCUAAUAUGAACUCGACUCAAAGGAGUGAAGGUAUGAAUAAUGUCUUCAAGCAAAGAUUUCGUAGGAGACUUGGUCUUUCAGAACUCCUUGUAGAAUGUGAGAAGGUUUCUGGAAGUCUUCGUGAAAAUGAGUUGGAUGCAGAUUUUAGUUCGCGUCGAAAGAAACCUAUUGCUUACUGUCCAAAUUUUCCUUUGCUAAAGACCGCAUCUGAAUCAUACACAAGGCGGAUGUAUUUAGAAUUUGAAACAGAAUUCAAAAGCCAAUUUUCAUUCUCUUGUAAACUAUUACAGACUGACGGUCCGGUGUUGACAUAUAUGGUCACACAUAUGAACAUCGAGCAUGGAGCAAAAGUUAUAUUCAAUACCACGGACACAACUAUUACAUGUUGUUGCAGAAAGUUUGAAUCCAUAGGUAUAUAUACACAAAUUAUGAUGCAAUGUACUCUGUAA
This 1551-nucleotide ribosomal RNA is filed under the name Triticum aestivum (bread wheat). RNAcentral describes it as "partial small subunit ribosomal RNA". The record is from RNAcentral. Lineage: Eukaryota; Viridiplantae; Streptophyta; Magnoliopsida; Poales; Poaceae.